This 1542-nucleotide long non-coding RNA is filed under the name Equus asinus (donkey). Its description in RNAcentral is "lncRNA (ENSEASG00005024909.1)". The record is from RNAcentral. Lineage: Eukaryota; Metazoa; Chordata; Mammalia; Perissodactyla; Equidae.
GUUGUCUCAGCUGUGAGAGAUGCUUUGGCAGACAAGCUUCAGCUGGCAGCACCUUCAAGGAUGGCUUCAGCUCCACAGAACUUCCUCACCGAAGGUCAUGUCCUUCAGAGGGUAGCCCACAUCAAAUGACGGUGGAGGAGGGUAGACAACUGUCAGACCAUUUCAGCCCAACGAAGGACAACUGUAACGGGUUGUUUUAGCCCAAGCUUCCGCAUGAAGUUGGAACUGCUCCUACUGCCAGAUCCUUCUUCCUGCCUCCCCUUUCCAUGAGCGCUGAUGAGUCUUAGAGUCCAUCUCAGCGUCCUUCCUGGAGAACCCGACUCGUGAGACAUGGGUGGUUAAAAACACAUCUCUGCAUCAGUAAUGACCUAGCUUCUCCACGUACUCAAGGAGGAUCAGGAGUAUGACUACAUUUCACUGUGCAGUGCCCCAAGGUCUUUCCAAGGUGAAUGUUGCCAGUGCCUAACCAGGUUCAACGAAUUUGCUGCUAUCCUGAGACUGAUUCUCAGUAGACACAAAGGACUGGCGCACACACUAUCAUAUGGCAGGAUGCGAUGGAAUGGGAAGGUCCUCAUUAUUUCCAAGAUAUUGUCCUAACAAUUGCUGGGUGCCCUCAAGAUUCUCCAAUGCCUCCAAUAUGUAAGCCUCAGGCCUAAGGGGAAACUACACAAUUCUGGACCUUGGCGGGGGAGUGAACUCAGCUGGAACAGGUUAAAAAUCCUACUCAAUCUCCAUGAUUGAGUGACAAUGCAACCAGAGAGCCACCAAAUGUGCUGCCUUCACGCUAGUGAAACCUCUUGCUGAUGCUCAGGGUGCACUGCCAAAGAGGAGGGGCAUGUGUGAUUUGUCAGAGCCGGUCACCAGGGGUGGAGAGUUGGAGAAGGGCAUCGAAAGGAUGUGACCACCAGUUGAAACUCUCACCAGAGCAGGGCAAUCAGAGACUCCUCACCCCUCCCGUCCUUGGAAUGUACAUUCCACCCACUGUUCCCGCACUAGGAUCCACUUCAAGCACACAGCCUGGAGAGAGUAAUGUGUUGCUGAGACCAUCUGGAUGGUUACAUGACUGAAUCCCAUUAAGGCCUCUAUAUAAACUCUUAAGAAUUUGGCAGAUGUGUGUGCAGAUCUACUCAUGUUGUGGCCAGCCAAGGCAAGCCUUGUAUGUAAGUUGCCUUGCUUAUUAAAACUGCUGCCUAGCCCCCCACUCCCACAAAAAUUGCAGUAUUUUUAGAUUGCAUUGGUGGGUUUUUCCCUAAGCAACUACAAAUAAGCUAGAAGUAAAGUGAAAUCGCUCAGGUAUCUGUCCCCUUGAGAAAGACUGCAUUCCUAAUUGCAGCCAACCGUGUUACACUUACACAUCAUAUAUAAAGUAGUAUUUAAAAAUUCAGACUGAAUUGGCUUUAAAUGUAGGCAUCUCUCUAAAUGCAAAUUUACUUUUUACACUUAACCUUUAAGUGUAAGCCUUUUUACACUAAGCCUUAGUUUCUUUACUUGUAAAAUGUUCUACAGUUGCUGUAUCAUAAAAAAUCUAAAAAACCUGCCACA